RNAcentral lists this ribosomal RNA (253 nucleotides) under uncultured bacterium. Its description in RNAcentral is "partial 16S ribosomal RNA". It matches the Rfam family "Bacterial small subunit ribosomal RNA", at positions 524 to 776 of the family's 1533-position model. The record is from RNAcentral.
UACGUAGGUGGCAAGCGUUGUCCGGAUUUAUUGGGUUUAAAGGGUGCGUAGGCGGCCCUGUAAGUCAGUGCUGAAAUAUCCCGGCUUAACCGGGAGGGUGGCAUUGAUACUGCGGGGCUAGAGUACAGAUGAGGUAGGCGGAAUUGACGGUGUAGCGGUGAAAUGCGUAGAUAUCGGAAGGAACAUCAGUGGCGAAAGCGACUUCCUGGACCAAUACUGACGCUCAUGUGCGAAAGCGUGGGGAGCAAACAGG